ACUGUGCCAGCUGGUGGAUGGCUCGGCUCGAGCGCCGAAGAAGGACGUGCCAAGCUGCGAUAAGCCUGAGGGAGCCGCACGGAGGCGAAGAACUCAGGAUCUCCUAAUGGGAAUCCCCUCGCAAUUGCCUUGCGCAAUGGGGAACGUCGAGAAUUGAAACAUCUUAGUAUCGACAGGAAAAGAAACCGAAUGGGAUGUCGUCAGUAACUGCGAGUGAAAGCGACCCAGUCCAAACCGAAGCCUUCACGGGCAAUGUGGUGUUCGGACUGACUCUCAUCGCCUGAACGUUUUCGUGAAGUCUCUUGGAACAGAGCGCGAUACAGGGUGAAAGCCCCGUAACGGAAGCAAGUAAGGCGUGCGUCAGCUCCAGAGUAUCGGGGAUUGGAAAUUCCUCGUGAAUAUGGUCAGCAUCGAUGACCAAGACUAAACACGUCUCGAGACCGAUAGCGAAAAAGUAGCGUGAGCGAACGCUGAAAAGCACCCCAAGAAGGGGGGUGCAAUAGGGCCUGAAAUCAGUUGGCGAUGGAGCGACGGGGCACAAAAGGUCCUGUAGAAAACGACAGAGGCGCGAGCCUCCAGUAGGAACUACAGGAAGCCGGUGUUCCGUCGUGCGUUUUGAAAAACGAGCCAGGGAGUGUGUUGGUUUGGCGAGUCUAACCGGUGUAUCCGGGAAGGCAUAGGGAAACCGACAUGGCCGCAGUCUUACGACGAGGGCCGCCGUGUUCAAGCGCGGGGAGUCAAACCGACACGACCCGAAACCGGAUGAUCUACGCGUGGGCAAGGUGAAGCGUACCGAAAGGCACGUGGAAGCCUGUUAGGGAUGGUGUCCUACAAUACCCUCCCGUGACCUACGUGUAGGGGUGAAAGGCCCAUCGAAUCCGGCAACAGCUGGUUCCAACCGAAACAUGUCGAAGCAUGACCUCUGCUGAGGUAGUCCGUGGGGUAGAGCUACCGAUUGGGGGUGCAGACUCCGAGAGGAGUCGGCCCCCCUGUCGAACUCCAAACCUACGGACGCCGUUGACGCAGGGAAUCCGGUGUGCGGGGUAAGCCUGUGCACCGUGAGGGAGACAACCCAGAGCUGGGUUAAGGUCCCAAAGUGCGGACUAAGUGCGAUUGAAGGUGGUCCCGAGCCCUAGACAGCCGGGAGGUGAGCUUAGAAGCAGCUACCCUCUAAGAAAAGCGUAACAGCUUACCGGCCGAGGUUCGGGGCGCCCAAAAUGAUCGGGGCUCAAGUCCGCCACCGAGACCUGGCCGCACCCGUGACAGGGUGAUCGAGUAGGUUGGCACUCCGUUCGGGUGGAAGCUCGGGUGAGAACUCGAGUGGACCGAAUGGUGACGAAAAUCCUGGCCAUAGUAGCAGCGUUAGUCGGGUUAGAACCCCGACGGCCUAAUGAGCAAGGGUUCCUCGGCAAUGCUGAUCAGCCGAGGGUUAGCCGGUCCUAAGUCUCGUCGCAGUUCGAGCGAGACAAAAGGGAAACGGGUUAAUAUUCCCGUGCCACCGUACAAUAAAAGUCGACGCCUCGGGGUAAGUCAAGCCGGGCUAUCGCCCGGUCGAACCGUCCAAUUCCGUGGAAGCCGUAAUGGCACGAAGCGGACGAACGGCGGAACAGCGCAAGUUGACCCAACCUGGGGCCCGUGAAAAGACGAGUACGGUGUCCGUACCGAGAUCCGACACAGGUGCUCAGGCGGAGAAAGCCAAGGCCUGUCGGGAGCAACCGACGUUAGGGAAUUCGGCAAGUUAGUCCCGUAAGUUCGCGAUAAGGGAUGCCUGCCCCGGAUAGGGGCAGGUCGCAGUGACUCGGACGCUCCGACUGUCUAGUAACAACAUAGGUGACCGCAAAUCCGCAAGGACUCGUACGGUCACUGAAUCCUGCCCAGUGCGGGUAUCUGAACACUCGGUACAACGAGGCGAAGGACCCGUUAACGGCGGGGGUAACUAUGACCCUCUUAAGGUAGCGUAGUACCUUGCCGCUUCAGUAGCGGCUUGCAUGAAUGGAUCAACGAGAGCGUCACUGUCCCAACGUUGGGCCCGGUGAACUGUACGUUCCAGUGCGGAGUCUGGAGACCCCCAAGGGGAAGCGAAGACCCUAUAGAGCUUUACUGCAGGCUGUCGCUGGGACACGGUCGCUGAUGUGCAGCAUAGGUAGGAGUCGUUACACAGGUACCCGCGCUAGCGGGCCACCGAGACAUCAUUGAAAUACUACCCGUCAGUGACUGUGACCCUCACUCCGGGAGGAGGACACCGGUAGCCGGGCAGUUUGACUGGGGCGGUACACGCUCGAAAAGAUAUCGAGCGUGCCCCAAGAUUUCCUCAUCCGGGUCGGGAACCCGGAAGAGAGCGCAAGAGCAAAAGGAAGUCUGACAGUGUCCUGCACAACAAGGGACGCUGACGCGAAAGCGUGGUCUAGCGAACCUAUCAGCCUGCUUGAUGCGGGCGAUAGAUGACAGAAAAGCUACCUUAGGGAUAACAGAGUCGUCACCCGCAAGAGCACAUAUCGACCGGGUGGCUUGCUACCUCGAUGUCGGUUCCCUCCAUCCUGCCCGUGCAGAAGCGGGCAAGGGUGAGGUUGUUCGCCUAUUAAAGGAGGUCGUGAGCUGGGUUUAGACCGUCGUGAGACAGGUCGGCUGCUAUCUAUUGGGGGUGUUACGGUAUCUGACGGGAACGGUCGUAUAGUACGAGAGGAACUACGACUGGUCACCACUGGUUUACCGGUUGUCCGAGAGGGCACGUGCCGGGCAGCUACGUGACACGGGGUAAGAGCUGAACGCAUCUAAGCUCGAAACCCACCUGGAAAAGAGAUACCACCGAGACCACUCGUACAAGACGAGGUCGAUAGGCUCGGGGUGUACGCGCCGAGGCAACGAGGCGUUUAGCCCGCGAGUACUAACUGGUCGAGCCAACACU
This 2905-nucleotide ribosomal RNA is filed under the name Halorussus litoreus. RNAcentral describes it as "bacterial LSU rRNA". It matches the Rfam family "Archaeal large subunit ribosomal RNA". Lineage: Archaea; Methanobacteriati; Methanobacteriota; Halobacteria; Halobacteriales; Haladaptataceae. The record is from RNAcentral.